AUCAACUUUCGAUGGUAGGAUAGAGGCCUACCAUGGUGGUAACGGGUAACGGGGUGUUAGGGCACGACACCGGAGAGGGAGCCUGAGAAACGGCUACCACAUCCAAGGAUGGCAGCAGGCGCGCAAAUUACCCACUCCCGACACGGGGAGGUAGUGACAAUAAAUAACAAUACGGGGUUCUUUCGGAUCUCGUAAUUGGAAUGAGUACAAUUUAAAUCUCUUAACGAGGAACAAUUGGAGGGCAAGUCUGGUGCCAGCAGCCGCGGUAAUUCCAGCUCCAAUAGCGUAUAUUAAAGUUGUUGCAGUUAAAAAGCUCGUAGUUGAAUUUCGGGAUCAAUAUGUUGGUCGUGCCUUGGUACGUACUGGCGUCAUUGGUUUCUACCUUCUGAAGAACCUCGAUGUCAUUAAUUUGGUGUCUUGGGGAAUCAGGACUGUUACUUUGAAAAAAUUAGAGUGUUUAAAGCAGGCUCACGCUUGAAUACAUUAGCAUGGAAUAGUGAAAUAGGACGUUUGAUUCUAUUUUGUUGGUUUCUAGGAUCGACGUAAUGAUUAAUAGGGAUAGUUGGGGGCAUUAGUAUUCAAUUGUCAGAGGUGAAAUUCUUGGAUUUAUUGAAGACUAACUACUGCGAAAGCAUUUGCCAAGGAUGUUUUCAUUAAUCAAGAACGAAAGUUAGGGGAUCGAAGACGAUCAGAUACCGUCGUAGUCUUAACCAUAAACUAUGCCGACUAGGGAUCGGAUGAUGUUAAUUUUUUAAUGACUUAUUCGGCGCCUUACGGGAAACCAAAGUGUUUGGGUUC
RNAcentral lists this ribosomal RNA (798 nucleotides) under uncultured Glomeromycotina. RNAcentral describes it as "SSU rRNA". It matches the Rfam family "Eukaryotic small subunit ribosomal RNA", at positions 314 to 1114 of the family's 1831-position model. The record is from RNAcentral. Lineage: Eukaryota; Fungi; Glomeromycota.